RNAcentral lists this ribosomal RNA (468 nucleotides) under uncultured bacterium. Its description in RNAcentral is "partial 16S ribosomal RNA". It matches the Rfam family "Bacterial small subunit ribosomal RNA", at positions 28 to 507 of the family's 1533-position model. The record is from RNAcentral.
GACGAACGCUGGCGGCGUGCUUAACACAUGCAAGUCGAACGGAAAGGCCCUGCUUUUGUGGGGUGCUCGAGUGGCGAACGGGUGAGUAACACGUGAGUAACCUGCCCUUGACUUUGGGAUAACUUCGGGAAACUGGGGCUAAUACCGGAUAGGAGCUCCUGCUGCAUGGUGGGGGUUGGAAAGUUUCGGCGGUUGGGGAUGGACUCGCGGCUUAUCAGCUUGUUGGUGGGGUAGUGGCUUACCAAGGCUUUGACGGGUAGCCGGCCUGAGAGGGUGACCGGCCAAAUUGGGACUGAGAUACGGCCCAGACUCCUACGGGAGGCAGCAGUGGGGAAUAUUGCACAAUGGGCGGAAGCCUGAUGCAGCAACGCCGCGUGCGGGAUGACGGCCUUCGGGUUGUAAACCGCUUUCGCCUGUGACGAAGCGUGAGUGACGGUAAUGGGUAAAGAAGCACCGGCUAACUACGUG